Molecule: long non-coding RNA, 3056 nt
Organism: Falco peregrinus (peregrine falcon)
Lineage: Eukaryota; Metazoa; Chordata; Aves; Falconiformes; Falconidae
Exons: 3
Source: RefSeq, a predicted model, not a curated record
GGGCUGCUGGCGGCGCCCCGGCCGCGCUGUGUCCCCUCCCCGACCGCCGCCACCCGCGCACCGUGGCAGUUAUGUAAGUACGUAUAGGACUUCUGGCAGAUACAUACGUUACGGGGUGUGCGGGGGGGUGCCAAUUCAGUGCUGUGGAUGAGUGGAUUCUGACUUAUUCUUGCAUUAAUGAUACUACGGCUUAUGUGGCUGUAUGGAAGGCACGUUGAUUCUAUGUGGCGCUCCAGGUGCCCGUAGUGAAGGAGGUAUACAUAUGAAGAAGAAGGAUCCUGCUGUACCCUCGCGACAGUAUAGAUCUGCGGGUAACCCCCCCGAGGACGCUGCGUUAAGCUGUGCUCGUGUUGUAGAGUAACCGAGCAAGAAAUUUUGGCGAAACUUUUGAUUCAAAGGCAUCAGCAACAGGAUUCAAACAAACGAUACUUCAUAACUUGAGCGCUGGCCAGUUGCAGUUAAGUUUGGUGGAAAGGUAGAAGUUUCAAAGAUGUGAAGAUCCUGUACGUGAAAGCAGGUGCUGUGGUGAAAGGGAAUGUCACGGCUCCUCCGGUGAGGAGGAGGAGGCUGUGUAUCCUCAGGCUGUGUUAGACCCAUGUAGGAUCAACAGAACCUUCUUCCCCUUGCCAGAGAGACUUGAUUUUGACACUUCUCUCUACUACCAGGGCAUUUUAUCCAUUACAGGAAAGUGAGUUAGCACAGCUGGAGGGUAUAUUUUAUGCGGAUUUAAUUCCUGAAAGGAUGGACUAGAGAAGAUCUCUCACACAAAAGUGCUUUUCUUCCGUGUCUACGUUUCUUUGAGUACUGUGUUUCAGUCAGACUCUGAGCAGAUGUUUGUAAGAGAGAGACUAGAUUUACUACUGUUAUUUAAUUUGCAUCCUAGGGCGGUUACUGAAUGCACACUGGGCUUGCAAGCAGCGGUACAAAAAAUGAUGGAGGCUGUGUUUAACUCUUCAUUACCUGAGCAGUGUCAUUCUGCUUCCUGAGGGAUAUGCUUUUCAAAUAAAUGUUUUAACUUGGCACUUUACCUGGAUCUCUACUUGAGAGCUCUGUUGGAUCAGAGGCUUAGGAAGGAAAUUGUUUUAAAAAUACUUUACAGAAAUUGAAUUAUAUUUUUUUAACUAGUAACUAAUUUUAAGUUAUAGUGUCUUAAAAAUUAUUUAGCUUAGCAAUUUCUGUAAGUUCUGUUGGUUUUUUUUUUUGGUUGGUUUUUUUUCCUAAUUGGAGACCUUUUUGGCUGUCCCUACAAAAAGGCCUGUGAUCCUUGGUUCUGAGAUUAUAUGUUAAUGAUAAGCUUGAGAUGCCAUCAGUAGUCAAAAAUACUGACAAAUCCUUUAUGGUAGAAUACUGUAAGGUGGUUUAGCCUGUAAGUGAAUCGCUGCUUUCAUUUUUAUUAGGGAGUGUUGAGAGCUUCAUUCCCCUUCCUGUUUGGUUAGAUUACUUUUGUGCAUUUUGACAGCAAACCUGCUUGUUCUAGGUGGUGUUGGGAAUGAUUUUGUCACGAGCACUGGGCUGAGAGUAGUUCUUCACUCUUCCCAAGCAGCUAGCUUUGCAGUUGCUGUUUACACAGUACUUCACAUUGCGCACUCUUAGUGUAUAACAACCUACUUAGGAUUCUUUUAAAUACUUGUGAAUUUUCCCUUUUAUAAAUAAGGUUAAAUAAAACUUUAAAAUGAACUCUUGUUUCAAGCAGCUUUUUGUCUUUACUUUUUGACUUUUAACUUCUUGCUUGAAGUAGAACAAUAAAACAUUGUGUUUUGUGCCUAUUUACCCUGUGUUUUUUAAUGUAGUUAUGAUAUUUCCCGUUACUGUUCUUCCAGCCUCUGUUUUCAGCUCAGGGCACUUUCCAAGCUGGAUGUAGUCUUGUAUCAUUUGCAACUCGCAGAGGAUGAAAAUUUUGAGAAGAAAUUAUUUUCUCCUUCGGCUCAUAUAAACCUUUACCAUUCACAACUUCAAAUAUAUGAUAAUACACUGGCAAAAAGAAGUAUCUUCUGUAUAUGAAUCUGAAACUUAUUAUUUCUCUAGUAAAAAUAAAUGUGAUAGGCAUGAUAAAUACACUUCUUUGAGCUAUAUGCCAGUGAUUGAAGUAAACUUCCAUCUUAGGAUUUUAUUUUUUCUUUUAAAUUAAAUUCUUGCAGGGCGGUAACUUUUGAACUGACCUACAGAGCACCUCUUGGUUGUGAAUGGAAAUCUGACAGGUUAGAUGAUAAGAGCUCUCUUCCUUGUUUCCCCUUGCCUGGAUUUUAAUUUUUUAAUUUUAGAAAAAUGGCUGUUGAUAACUCUACAUCCUUUUUCUGGAAAUUAAAACCCCAAAAGAUCUUUUGCUGCUCUUGCAUACUCUCCAGUCCAAACAGUACUGUAAUUGUUGUGGCUUUUAGUAGCCCUGUGCAUCUCCCAAGGUCUGGGUAAAUAAUUUUGUAAUAGAGUCUAUUUCAGAGAAAGGCAGCAAGGGGACCACAGAGGUGGAGGGUUCCCACAACUCAGGUGGGGAAUCCAUCUAGAUUGCCUCUGUUCAUUAAAUUGUAGCAAGAGAGGGUCACAAAUAUGAUGAAGAUUUGGAUUUCUAGUACGGAUUGUGAAUUAGUAUUCCCAUAAACUUUUUUACCUUUUGAAGGGGUGAAAGGUAAAAUGAGUAGCAUAUUAAUAGAAUCAUAUUAAAAGAUGUGGCCCAAUGCAGUCUUCAAAACAACUUGCCUUUUCAUCUUAAAAUACAUUCAAGUUACCAAAAUAAGUAAGGCUCAAUCUGAGCUCUAAUUAAAAAAAAAAAAAAAAAAGCAGCUUUUUUUAAAUUUUAUUAUAAAUGCAGCAGGUUGAGGAGAGGAAGACGCCACAAUAAUGAUGUUAAUAAAAGAUAGUGGUAAUGCUCACUGCGUUUGUGGUGGUGUUUUCUUAAGGAAGAGCUCAGUCUGAAGCCUUGCACAAGGAGAGGGGGAAAUCCAAAUUCUUUACUGAAAGCUUGGACUCUUGUCAAAAUGUAAUCUAGCCUUGCCCACAACUGGAAUUCGGAUCGGCAAGGUUUUUUUCCCUUUUAUUUUUUUUUUUCCUCCUUAUGUUGC